GAUGAAGAACGUAGCGAAAUGCGAUAAGUAGUGUGAAUUGCAGAAUUCCGUGAAUCUUCGAAUCUUUGAACGCACAUUGCGCCUCCUGGUAAUCCGUGAGGCAUGCCUGUUCGAGCGUCACCAAAAUCAAAUCAACCACUCCGGUGAUUGGUCAUGGAGGAAGAGUCCGUCGUGUUGUGGUCUCCCCUCCCAAAAUAAAUGGCGGAAAGUUGCUGGCACUCGGUGUAGGAGUAUUAUUCGCCGAUUGUCCAGUGUCGUUCCUGCCGUCAAAUCCCCACAAUUAUCUUGAUUGACCUCGGAUCAGGUAGGGAUACCCGCUGAACUUAAGCAUAUCAAUAAGCGGAGGA
RNAcentral lists this unclassified non-coding RNA (347 nucleotides) under soil metagenome. Its description in RNAcentral is "partial contains 5.8S ribosomal RNA, internal transcribed spacer 2, and large subunit ribosomal RNA". The stretch from base 1 to 120 matches the Rfam family "5.8S ribosomal RNA", at positions 35 to 154 of the family's 154-position model. The record is from RNAcentral.